RNAcentral lists this small RNA (484 nucleotides) under Pongo abelii (Sumatran orangutan). Its description in RNAcentral is "processed transcript". The record is from RNAcentral. Lineage: Eukaryota; Metazoa; Chordata; Mammalia; Primates; Hominidae.
AAAAGGUGCAGAAAUUCUGUGGGAAGGCGGCUUCCCAGGGCGGGUGUGCUGGGGACCCAAGCGGCACCGCGGGGAGGGGGCUCUACGCGCUCAACCCCGUCCCAGGCACUGUCCGCCGCCUCCACCCGCCGGCCUCCCGCAGCCUGGCCAGCGCCAUGAGGACCAAGCAGGUGAACUUGCUGAUCACCCUGGUCGCCGUCGCGUUGUUCAGCUUCUCUUGCUUCUGCAUCUACAGGAUAACUCAAACCAAUAAUCGAUUAAUUAAUUGUAGAAACCAUAUUUUGGAGUUUAAAGAAAAUAUGCUACACUUAAGAAACAAAACUGAAAAAAAUAGCCAAGAGAUGAUGAAAGUUUUGAAUCGAAUGAAGUAUGAAAUUACAAAGAAAGAAAAUUUGUCAGGAAACUUAGAGUAAUGAAGAUUAUUUACAUUCUGUUGUUAAAAUGAUUACAAAAAAAUUCAAAAGGCAAGUGAGGUCUGGAUCCU